CAAGAAUAAGCUUUGACUAGUUUCAAUGCGCCGAAUCUCGGCGAUCCUCAUCUCGAUUGUCGCAAAUUUGCUAUUAUAACGAGACUUUUUAUGAGUAAUAAAUAGAUAAGGGACCAUACAGUUUACCCAGAUACAUUGCAUGAAAUGAUUACGUUACAUAUAUAGAAAGUGCAAAGAUAAAUGAAUUAUUUAUUAAAAUAUAUGUCCAUGCAUGCUAAGCCGGUUCGCUCGAGCCGCGUUCGCUUCAGAGUGAGGACUCGAGUUCGGCUCUUUCUACUGUAGCAAAAGAUGGGAACGGCGGACGGGAAAAGAUGUUGGGUCCACAGGCCACUCGAUUCAAGCAUGAAACAGACAGCUCUGAUGAAUCUUCCCUUAUCCCCUGUGGGCCCCCACACCCACACACGCUCUUCCUGUCGGCUGCUCCCGCAUCCAUGUAUCCGGUCCUCUCACGGAUCACAUGAUCAUCAUCAUUUCCUUCACCGGCUGUAUCAACGGCCUCACCUCGUAUCACGUCCCGCCGCGGACAAAUUAAUGAUAAAAGGAAAAUAAAAACGAUUAUACCUCCUAUCACAACGAAAGCCGACGCGAUUAUAAGGGCAGGGAGCGGUCGCUGCCGUGCCAUUUUGUUUCUUUUUGGUUUUCCCCUUUUCG
This 651-nucleotide long non-coding RNA is filed under the name Musa acuminata (dwarf banana). Its description in RNAcentral is "long non-coding RNA (MACU_LNC003899)". Lineage: Eukaryota; Viridiplantae; Streptophyta; Magnoliopsida; Zingiberales; Musaceae. The record is from RNAcentral.